Molecule: long non-coding RNA, 899 nt
Filed under: Populus tremula
Lineage: Eukaryota; Viridiplantae; Streptophyta; Magnoliopsida; Malpighiales; Salicaceae
Description: long non-coding RNA (PTRE_LNC000828)
Source: RNAcentral
UUACCUGGCGAUUCGAAGGCGCAGGCGACAGCAACAGAUCGAGCACUCCCGGAGAAUUCUAUCUUCCUCCUCCUCUCAGUCCCUUCCCCUCUGUUCGUGUGUUUCUGUUUGUUGGGUUUUUUUUUCUUACCGUCUGCUCUCCUCUGCUUUCCUCUUCUGUUCGUGUUCUCUGCCUUCUCACCGCUGCGUUCACUGUUCUCCCUUCUUCUCAGUUCUUGAGGUGAGCUAACUAAGAAAGUAAUGCAUAUGCCAUCUUUACUGAGUUUUUUUACUGACUUCGGGUUCUUCUUUUUCUGCAGGGACGAAGACAGUAACAAGGCUGAUUCUUCUCUGUGUUGCCCCUCCCUUUUCUCCUUCUCUCUGUGAAUUUGUGCUUUGGAUUUAUGCUCUGCUUUUCUCUCUCUUCUUUUCUCUGAUUUUGUUCUCUGGUUUUUCGUCUGGGUUUAGCUAGAGUUUUUCCUCGGUUUCUCGUCCAAAAUCCCACUGUUUUCCCUCCUUUCAGCCCCCGGUUUUUCUUCCUUUUUCCCCUCCCGCGCUCUCUCGUCUCUCUGGCUUUAUAACCAGAGAAUACCAACCAUUUGAAACGGCUUCAAAGCCAUUACUGCUAGAAACGGCUCCUGAGGAUGAAGGCGAUGAACAGCUUCUAAAAACGGUGUCGUUUGUGUGAUGGGAAUGGCCAUUUUCAAUCUGGUCACUGAAGUUCUAAACGCGUGCAAUCAAGCCCCUGUGUAAAUUGUAAUUGGACCCCUUUAUUUCUGCGCUUUUUACAAGCUAAUCCUUGGAUUUUAAUUUUUCAAUCUUGACCCCAAACUUUAAUAUUUCUACAAUUAAGUCCCUGAAUAAGUUAAUUCCAAGCUUAAUUAAGUCUAAAACUUGUCAAUUCUUCAAUUAAACCCUAG